CUAACAAGGAUUCCCCCAGUAACGGCGAGUGAAGCGGGAAGAGCUCAAAUUUGAAAUCUCCGAGGCCUGAACGCUUCGGCGAGUUGUAGUUGCGAGAAGCACUUUCUCAGCGGACCGACCGUGCCUAAGUUGCUUGGAACAGCACGUCGCAGAGGGUGACAACCCCGUCUGUGGCGCGGACGGCCGCUCACGAUGUGCUUUCGAAGAGUCGGGUUGUUUGGGAAUGCAGCCCAAAACGGGUGGUAAACUCCAUCUAAAGCUAAAUACUGGCGUGAGACCGAUAGCGAAGGAAACGAAUGGACUCAGCAAUGCGCCGUUUGAGAUUCAGCCGGCGGGUAGUGCCGGCCCGGGGUUUGCGGAUCUGAAUGGACCGCGGUCCCGGGCUCGGAGCUCCCGGUCGUCGCACUUCUCUUGGGCGCGCGUCAACGUCGGUUGGGACUGGGUCUGAAAGGUGCCGGGAAGGUAGGUCUGUCGUCCCUUCGGGGUCGCUCGGUCUGUUACAGCCCGGUUCUCCUCGCGGCUCGGGCCCGACCGAGGCGGUGCAGCGCAUGCCUCUCGUAAGGCUAGGGUCCCGUCCCUCCGGCCGGUUGUCGAAUGUGGUGGACUGCUUGCAGUCUCCG
RNAcentral lists this ribosomal RNA (620 nucleotides) under Pavona varians. Its description in RNAcentral is "eukaryotic LSU rRNA". The stretch from base 1 to 285 matches the Rfam family "Eukaryotic large subunit ribosomal RNA", at positions 65 to 358 of the family's 3401-position model. Lineage: Eukaryota; Metazoa; Cnidaria; Anthozoa; Scleractinia; Agariciidae. The record is from RNAcentral.